UACAGAGGGUGCAAGCGUUACUCGGAAUCACUGGGCGUAAAGCGCGCGUAGGUGGUGGGUUAAGUCGGCUGUGAAAGCCCCGGGCUCAACCUGGGAACUGCAUCCAAAACCGGCCGACUAGAGUACAGUAGAGGGUGGUGGAAUUUCCUGUGUAGCGGUGAAAUGCGUAGAUACAGGAAGGAACACCAGUGGCGAAGGCGACCACCUGGACUGAUACUGACACUGAGGUGCGCAAGCUUGGGGAGCAAACAGG
RNAcentral lists this unclassified non-coding RNA (253 nucleotides) under uncultured Pseudomonadaceae bacterium. RNAcentral describes it as "contains 16S-23S intergenic spacer region". It matches the Rfam family "Bacterial small subunit ribosomal RNA", at positions 524 to 776 of the family's 1533-position model. Lineage: Bacteria; Pseudomonadati; Pseudomonadota; Gammaproteobacteria; Pseudomonadales; Pseudomonadaceae. The record is from RNAcentral.